UGUUAAUCGGGACGAAAGGUCCUCUUGCGAAUAGUUAGAGGAAUUGACGGUACCGGAAUAGAAAGCCACGGCUAACUACGUGCCAGCAGCCGCGGUAAUACGUAGGUGGCAAGCGUUGUCCGGAAUUAUUGGGCGUAAAGCGCGCGCAGGCGGAUCAGUCAGUCUGUCUUAAAAGUUCGGGGCUUAACCCCGUGAUGGGAUGGAAACUGCUGAUCUAGAGUAUCGGAGAG
This 230-nucleotide ribosomal RNA is filed under the name Vibrio cholerae. RNAcentral describes it as "partial 16S ribosomal RNA". It matches the Rfam family "Bacterial small subunit ribosomal RNA", at positions 434 to 656 of the family's 1533-position model. The record is from RNAcentral. Lineage: Bacteria; Pseudomonadati; Pseudomonadota; Gammaproteobacteria; Vibrionales; Vibrionaceae.